AUGAACGCUAGCGACAGGCCUAACACAUGCAAGUCAGGGGCAGCACAAGGAGCAAUCUGAGGUGGCGACCGGCGCACGGGUGAGUAACACGUAUGCAACCUGCCUGUAAGCGGGGAAUAACCCGUUGAAAGACGGACUAAUACCGCAUAAUACUAAAUUACUGCAUGGUAAUUUAUUUAAACAUUUAUGGCUUACAGAUGGGCAUGCGCAUGAUUAGCUAGUUGGAGAGGUAACGGCUCCCCAAGGCAACGAUCAUUAGGGGUUCUGAGAGGAAGGUCCCCCGCACUGGUACUGAGACACGGACCAGACUCCUACGGGAGGCAGCAGUGAGGAAUAUUGGUCAAUGGACGAGAGUCUGAACCAGCCAAGUCGCGUGCAGGAAGAAUGUUCCCUAUGGAUUGUAAACUGCUUUUGCAGGGGAAUAAAGUGCAUCACGUGUGAUGUUUUGUAUGUACUCUGCGAAUAAGGAUCGGCUAACUCCGUGCCAGCCGCUGC
This 495-nucleotide ribosomal RNA is filed under the name uncultured bacterium. RNAcentral describes it as "bacterial SSU rRNA". It matches the Rfam family "Bacterial small subunit ribosomal RNA", at positions 29 to 518 of the family's 1533-position model. The record is from RNAcentral.